RNAcentral lists this ribosomal RNA (206 nucleotides) under uncultured bacterium. RNAcentral describes it as "partial 16S ribosomal RNA". It matches the Rfam family "Bacterial small subunit ribosomal RNA", at positions 568 to 774 of the family's 1533-position model. The record is from RNAcentral.
UGCGCAGGCGGUUUUGUAAGACAGGCGUGAAAUCCCCGGGCUCAACCUGGGAACUGCGUUUGUGACUGCAAGGCUAGAGUACGGCAGAGGGGGGUGGAAUUCCACGUGUAGCAGUGAAAUGCGUAGAGAUGUGGAGGAACACCAAUGGCGAAGGCAGCCCCCUGGGUCGAUACUGACGCUCAUGCACGAAAGCGUGGUAGCAAACA